AACGAACGCUGGCGGCGCGCUUAAUACAUGCAAGUCGAACGAGAAGGUGUAGCAAUACACUUGUAAAGUGGCGAACGGGUGAGGAAUACAUGGGUAACCUACCCUCGAGUGGGGAACAACCAGCCGAAAGGUUGGCUAAUACCGCGUACGCUUCCGGGUCUUCGGAUUCGGAAGGAAAGUCAUACCGUGGGUAUGACGCUCAAGGAUGGGCUCAUGUCCUAUCAGCUUGUUGGUAGGGUAACGGCCUACCAAGGCUUCGACGGGUAGCUGGUCUGAGAGGACGAUCAGCCACACUGGCACUGCGACACGGGCCAGACUCCUACGGGAGGCAGCAGUAAGGAAUAUUGCGCAAUGGGCGAAAGCCUGACGCAGCAACGCCGCGUGAGUGAUGAAGGCCU
This 398-nucleotide ribosomal RNA is filed under the name uncultured bacterium. RNAcentral describes it as "bacterial SSU rRNA". It matches the Rfam family "Bacterial small subunit ribosomal RNA", at positions 29 to 417 of the family's 1533-position model. The record is from RNAcentral.